UCUCUCUUUUUUCUUGUUUCUUUUUAUAUCUUUAACUUGUUGGUCACAACUUUCUUUUUGAAAGAAUUAGUCAAGCAAUGAUUGACUCUAAAGAGAGAGUGCAUGAACCCGUAAAUAAGGAGGGCCACUUCCGUCUUGUCAAUUGAAACCAACUUUUUUUUUUAACCGAACAUGGAUCAGAUAUUCGAACAGUACUAAUCAAAAGAGAAGAAAAUUAGGAGAAUUUUCUUUUUUCUAAUAAAAAAAGAGAAAUCGAGUCUUUACAAAUUUAUAUUAUCAAAAGACGCUACAUUGACGAGGUAUUUUAUCUCACACAUAUAUUGUUCUUUCAAAGUCAAUCCACGAUGCAUGAAAAAAGAACAUGAAAAAUACUUUUUUUCUAUAAUAAAUAUAUUCAUGAUCCUCAUUUUAAUUCAUAAUUACCAUGUUUUUAUUUUUAUUGGCAACAAUAUUAAAAUAUUAGAGGAAACUAAUGGAUCAUUAAACUCAGUGUGUUACCCUUAUUGAACAAAUUUUUGAGAUAUCAUAUGAAGAUUAGGAGUUGUGAUUAAAUGGUUAUAAUCAAAGUCAUCCAUAUAAAUAAAUUAUUGUGAUAUCAUGCUAGAGUUAGAAGUUACUAGAUUAGACUUAAAAGUUGUUGUAAUAGUUUAUAAAAGACAUCAUUAAAACUCUAUUUGAUUCUAAAUAUUUCUUAUGUCAGAGUUAAAAUGAGUGCCUAUAAAACAACUUACUACAAAUAUCUCAAACUUCCAUUGAUUAUAAAAAUGUUGAUAAAAAAAAAAAAAUUGGGGUGUAAUCGUAUGAGAUAUAAAGAGAAUCUAAGUAAAAAAAAAUUAUGAAAAUAUAUAAUCAAAUCAAACUCUAAGAUAACAAAAAAAGUUUCGACUAAAAUAAAUCCUCUCAUUUUAUAUUUUUGGAACCUUUUUAGAAGAAGUAUAUUAAUACAUCUUAAAUCAAAAUGACUUCUUUCAUCACCCAAGAGAAAAUGAAACAAAAAGUUGUGAGCUCGCUACCAGGCAGGUUGAAAUUGCCGCGGCAAUUCAGAAGAGAUAUAAAUCUUAAAUGCUUUAUUUGCAGUAUACUCAUUGGAUUCAUCAGGCGCCUCUAUGUACAUGAUGAUACUGGGAAUAUGCAUAGAGGUGAACAUCAAUAUAUCUAAUACAUGGAACACUACAUCUAAUGCUAAUAUAACCCUAUUAUAUGAUGUAAUUAAUUAGUGGAAAUUAACCGUGAGCUUUAAGUGACUGUAGAUAAUUGCUUAGUUAAUUAAAUUGACUACUUAGGCACGGGAAACCUCCAAAGAGUUCCUUUAUUUAAUUCUUCAAGACAUAAUUAAUCUUUGAAUUAACAUGGGAUGCUUCUUUUAGGUUCAUUAUUGUCAUCAUAACUUGAACAGUUAUCCUUGAUUUUGAUACAAAACAAGGUAUCUUAUAUCUAUCAUUAAUCAUACCCAUGAUACUGCAGCGCUAUCUUUAAUUUGUGUGCCGAAAGAGGUAGAUGUGACCUCGACAAUAACAUGAAACUUGUGACAUAAAAUAUAUAAAAUUAAUCUACAAAAUGAUUACGCCACUUGUCCUCUUAAUUUUUCUCUCUUGCAAGAGUACUGCUGCUAUUAUUAUUAUUUGAUACUGCCCUUCUCAAAGGAAGCUAAUUAAAGGUUGCUUCAGAAAGUAUAGACAAAUCAUAUAAAUUUAACAUAACAAGUGUAUUUGAUUUUGAAAAUGAUAUGUAUAACUCUUCCCUCUCUCUUUGAUCAUGUUUCUUGAAACAUUUCGAAUGACUACAUUUUUAAAUUAUAUUAGUUGGGUCACAAAAAUGCAGAUGUGUUGUUGCUCAUAAUGUAGUUUUACAAGGGCCAGUUACAAAAGUGACUUAUCUAUUUCAAAUUUAAGUAUUAGUACAACAGUCUUACUGCACAUGCUAUUAUACCUUACUGUGUGAAUACUGUCGGAUAAUCAGAAAGUCAAUAAAAACUAAUAAAAUUUAAUCAUCUAAUGAUGUCCAGACUAUGAGAUACUAUAUACUCAUAAAAUAUCAUGGUCAUAGUGUAACAGCAAUUUUUAAAAGAAUUUUUAAGCUGAUGCAAAAAAAAAAAAAAAAUUGACUGUAAAAUCAUUUUAUUUUAAAGAAAGAGAAAUUCAAAUAAUGGCUAGAAAAUAAUGCUCAAUGCGACAAGACUCGUUUUACAAAUUCCCUGACUCUCACAUUGUGCAGGUGUAAGCCCACUUUAGAAGGCCCUGCCCAUGAUACGAAUUUUUCGGAAAGAUAUUUAUUCAAGGCUGGGCUAAAAUUUCGGCCCCAGAAGCCUUUUCAGAACAAACCGGACCUCUCGAGCUUUCAUAAUUUUCGGCCAUUGUCUAGAAAGAGUAACACAGAAGAAAAACAUUAGUACUACCAGUGUUAUGGGCAAAAACAUGAAAAUCGAAAAAGAAAAUGCAACAAUAUUGUCAUAUCUUUUAUAUCUCUAUCACUGAAUAUGGAUUAUGUUAUCUUGAUAUUCUCUAAUUAUGUGAACAAUAUUGUCAUAUUUUUUAUAUCUCUACCACUGAAUAUGGAUUAUGUUAUCUUGAUAUUCUCUAAUUAUGUGAUUAUGAGUUUUGUAAUUCUGAAUUCUGUAAUCAAUGAGAUUUUGAAAGUUCAGAACUCAAAUAGUCGACUAAGCUUUUCUAAUUAUGUGAUUAUCAGCUGUCCAUUUUCUCAAUUAGCUAAUAGCAUUAUAUCCCUUUAUUUGGCUUAUCUCAUAAUUUUUUUAUUAAAAAAAUUGUGAAUAAAUGAAUUGCAACAAUUAGUGGUGAACCAUUUUUGUUUGAUAGCCAUGUUUGGGGACCCAUAAACGAGAAGAUUAUUAGUUGUAUUGUCUCCUUUUAUAAUUUGACUUUAUUUUGCAACUAGCCAAAUAAUUAGGCACCAAUCAAGCUCCAUCACAAGCUCUAAGGCACAAGGGAAAAGUUAGAGACGGCAAAAAGGUUCGGGCCAGCCCAAGCUCAGUCCGGUCCAGUCGAGGCCCGCAGGCCUGUAUAUGGGCUUAAAAAUGUAAAGCCCGUAUAGGUUUGGCUUGGAUAAGGACUUAGUAAAAAAGUUCAGACUUGGCCCGGGUUUUUUAAUUUAAAAAUUAAAAAUAAAUUUAAUUGAAAAAAAAAACUCAAAAUACUAUAUUAGCUUAAUUUAUUAUAUUAGUAUUUGUUAUUUAUUAAGUUGUAUUACUAAUAUUUUAUGCAUUGUAGAUAAUUAUCUUUAAUUUAAAUAUUUUUCUUAAUUAAAAAAUAUUUUAUAAUUAAUGAAAAGUCCAAGCCCCGCUUAGGCCCGUCUAGGCCCAGCCCAAACCCACAAAUUGCCACCCCUAGAAAAAAAUCUUCUAUUAUGUGCCACGUUUUAUUCUCAGAAGGCAUGAAUUAUCUCCAUAACCUUCCAAGAUUACAAAGGAAAAGAGUUAGAAACACAACUAGUAACAUUAGGUUUAUGUAAUUAAUGGAUUUGGAUCCAGUGUUGAGCUGACCUAUACUCAACUCUUUAUAAUCUUUUACCACAUGUGUAUUUAUAAUAACUAUCAAUUAUAUAUUUUUAAAAGAUUAAUAAAAUAAAAAAAGCUCAGCAUUGAAUAAAUACGUAAUUAAUAUGCUGUUUUGCUUCUCUGCCACUAUCAAAAUUAUAGAAACCUUUGGGCGAAACAAACCUACUAUGUCAUUCAUGUGUUUCCAUUAUAUAAUUAUACAAUCAUAUUGAAAUUGAUCCACCGGGACUAUGAUUUUCAUAUAUAAUAGGAGGGAAAUAAGUUAUUGAAAAAAAAAUGAUGUUCAAAGACCCUUUUGCCUUGAACAAGAUAAAAGUGCCCGUAAGAUUAUCCACAAAAAGAUUUAAAGGUAGAGCUUUAGUGAUAGUAUUAGAAGGGAGGUUGCUAGUUUCCCUCUUAAAAUCAAUAUAUAUCAUUUACCGUACUAAUAUUUUCAUAAGAGUUAAUUGAUAACUCUCUGACACCAUAAUUUAACAAUAUUUUUCCUAUUUUAAAAUACGUUUUUAUUCAUAAUUAUUAUUAAUUAAAUAAAUCAAAUUAAUAGAGAUUAAACUAAAAAAAUUAAAUACUAAAAAUAAGAAAUAUAGGUUUAAAUGUGAAUAAAAAAAGUAAUAAUAAAAUAUUUUUCUUACAUUUUUAUUGUAUUUAUACACACGCACGCACGCAUGCAUAUUAAGAUAAAAAUAUUGAGCAAAUAACAUAUUUACUCUUUUUUGCCUUUAAAAUUUUUACACUAAAAAAUAGUGGUUAUUAUAAAAAUAGUAGGAGUAUAAAUGGUAAAUAUUAAUUUCAUUAUGGAGAAAACCGUUAAUUCUCUGUAUUAGAAUAAUAGCUUUUCUUUUUUUUAACUCUUUGGUCUUGCUUCUAGGGUGAUAAAUUCGCAAAGCAAUCUUCUUAACUAAGCUUUAGGAACCAUAUUUUAAAAACAAAUGUAUGCUUUAAUAAAUUCUAACAUUAACGUCCACAAGUAACAUCAGAAGCAUGCUGCCAUAAAUUAUAACAUACAAAUCAUUCAAUCUCUAAAUCUAUUAGAGAGUCCCCAAUUUACCUCACAAACGAGAUUAGAGUGAUGGGUUCAUGACUUCAUGCUCAUGUUCAAUAUAAUUAAACGCGCACAAAAGCUAGGUUUUUGGUUUUGGCUCAUAAUUUAAUCACAUAAACAUAAUUUUUAGGGUUAUUAUCAUUUCACUACCUCAAAAAUUAAAAAAUAUCAAAUGACUACAAGAAAUAUUGUCCCCUAUCAUUUCCCUACUAUAUCUUUACAAAAAUAUCAUUUUACUACUUUUUCGUUACAACUAUUAGUCUACCAGUUAGUUGACUAACAAAAUACCAAUUUUACCUUUCAUGAUUAAAAAAAAAAUACUUGAAACUUAUUUACAAAAUCAACUCUUUCACAUUUAUUCGGCCAUCUAAGUUUCAUUUCCAACUUAUUUACAAAAUCAACUCUUCUACAUUUAUUCAACCAUCCAAGUUUCAUUUCUAACAUUAGGAUAUAAAAAUGGAAUCAUUAAUAAGAUAAAUUUGUAAUCCAUUUAUAAAAAUGGAUACAAAAUACCAACAUAAUUCUUUUUGCUGGAAUUAUGAUAUAUGAAUUACAAAUUUAUCUUAUUAAUGAUUCCAUUUUUAUAUCUUAAUGUUGGACAUAAAACUUGGAUGAUCAAAUAAAUGUGGAAGAGCUUAUUUUGUAAAUAAGCUUCAAGUUUUUUUUUUUUAAUCAUGAAGGGUAAAUUUAUAUUUUGUUAGUCAAAUAAUUGGUCAACCAACGGAAAAGUAGUAAAAUGAUAUUUUUAUAACGAAAAAAUAAUAAAAUGAUAUUUUUAUAAAGAUAUAGUAAGAAAAUAACAGGAGACAAUAUUUAUUAUAAUCAUUUGAUAUUUUUUUAAUUUUUAAAAUAAUGAAAUAAUAAUAACCCUAAUUUUUAAUACAUAGAAAAUUGUAGAAUAUAGCACGUAAAUGCAACAUGAUUGGUCCAGCUCAUAGUUCAGAAAAUUAUUAAUAGAAUAAUAGUGAUAAAUGGUGGAUGUUUUCACACGUUGGCCUUGGCAUCUUUUUCUAGCCUUUUUUUUUUUUAACUUGUUGGUCACAACUUUCUAUUUGAAAGAGUUAGUCCAGCAAUGAUUGACCCCUUAAAGAGAGAAUGCGUGAACCCGUAAAUAAGGAGGGCCGCUUCUGUCUUGUCGAUUGAAACCAACAAUCUCUCUUUUUUCUUUUUCUUUUUUUAACCGAACAUGGACCACAAUUUCCAACAGUAACUGCUCAAAUAAGAAGAAAAUUAGGAGAUUUUUCUUGUUUUUAGGGGGGAAAAAAAGGGGCAAUCGAGUCUUUGCAAAUUUAUAUUAUCAGAAGGCACAACAUUGAUGAGGUAUUUUAUCUCUCACACAUGUAUUGUUCUUCCAAAGUCAAUCCACGAUGCGUGAAAAACAGUACAUGAAAAAUACCUUUUUUCCUGUAAUAUAUACUCAUAAUCCUCAUUUUAGUUCUUAAUUACCGUCUUGUUAUUGUUAUUGGCAACAAUAUUAACAUAUUAGAGGAAACUAAUUGAAGACAAAACUGAUUUUUUUAUUAUGAUUGAACAAAUUGUUGAGAUGCAAUACAAAGAUUAAGAGUUGGGAUUAAAUGGUCAUGGUUAGAGUCAUCUUGCGGUAUAAAUUCUUAUGACAUGAAAUUGAAGUUAAAAUUAUUAAACACUUUAUUAUAAAUAAACCUGUAAUGGUUUAUAAAAAAUACCCAAUUAAUAACAAUACCAAUUUGUUUGAGUUAAAUGAGUGCCUAUUCAACAACCUACUAUAAAUAUCUCAAAGUUUUCAUUGAUGAUAAUAAUGUUGAUAAAAAAAAAUGGGGGUAUAAUGGCAUAUAAAGAGGGUGUAAAAACUUAAGUAAAAAAGUACCAAAAUAUAUAAUCAAAUCAAACUCUAAGAUAACAAAAAUAGUUCUGUCCAAAAUAAACUAUUCUAAACUUCCUUUUUUUUUUUUUUCCAAGCACCUUUAGACAAAUACAUUAAAUACAUUAAUUCAAAUGAUUUGUUUCGUCAUCUAAGGGAAAAUGAAACAAAAACUUGUGGGUUCUCUAUAUAUGUGAUAAUAGUGGGCGUAUAUAAACAAUAAAGUGUUGGCUCCACUGGCAAUGGAGUCCUCUUAAGUGGCUUGACUGGGUUUGCUCCCCAGUUCGAGUCGCAGGGAAGUUGUUUUUGUUGGGAGAACCUGUGCCUCUCGGUUCGAGCGGGGACUUCUAGUCUGGGUUGUGGUACGAGCUUAAAGGUGUCUCCCACAGUUGAGGCCCUCCCCAGGAUACCUCGUGGUCAAAACCAAAAAAAUAAUAAUAAUAAUGGGCGUAUAUAGGUGCUUAUCAAUAAAUCUAAUACGUGUAACACUAUAUUUAAUGCUAAUUAAUUAAUUAGUGGAAACCCUGAGCUUUAAGUGACUAGAGAAUUGCUCAGUUAAUUUUUUUUAUUUAUAGGUAAUUAAGGACUAUUGAUAAUUGCUUAGGGCAUCUCCAAUCCAACACCAAACCCAUCACAAAAUCACAUUUUACAUCAAAAAUAGUGUAAAAUACUUCUCCAAUGUAGCACCAAAAUGGUGUAAUGAAUAGUAUUGCACCAAAUAUAGUGCAACACUAUUCAUUACACCAUAUUUGGUGCUAGGAAAAAAAAGUCUCAAAUAUCUUUAUUACUUUAUCUUAUUUACAUAUGUGUCCUAUUUUAUAUAAUAUUUUAAGUUAUUAUUAUUAUUUUUGUUAUUUUUUUAAUUUUUGAAUAUUAUACUAAUAUUUUAAAUAAAAAAUAUUCAACACAAAAAUUAAUAAUAAAAAUAAAAUGCCAAAAUGAAUAUUAUACUAUAUUAUUGUUGUUAUUUAUUGUUAUUGUAUUUUUCUAUAUUAAUGUAAUGUUUAAUUUUCAUAAUGCACUUAUUAUUGUUAUUGCAUUUUUCUAUAUUAAUGUAAUGUUUAAUUUUCAUAAUGCACUUAUUAUUGUUAUUGCAUUUUUCUAUAUUAAUGUAAUGUUUAAUUUUCAUAAUGUACUAAUUUAGUUAAUUAAAUGCAAAUUUAAUAAUUUUUUAUAUAUUUUUUUGUUAAUCGAUAUAAAAUUACUCAUUACUUAAUUAUCUAUAUUAAUAGUAAUAUUUAUUGUGUUAAUUGAAUUAAUUCUUGAGAAUUGAAUAAAAAGAAGAAUAUUCUUUUUAGUGUAAAUGGGUUGGAGAUAAAAUAGUAAUUUGGUGUGAAAAAAGAUACAUUUUUUAUGUUGGUGUUACACCAAAAUAGUAUUAUGCAUUGGAGAUGGUCUUAGUUAAUUAAAUUGACUACUUACGCACGGGAAACCUCCAGAGAUUUCCUUAUUUAAUUCUUCAAGACAUAAUGAAUCUUUGAAUUAACACAGGAUGCUUCUUUUAAAGUCAUUAUUGUCAUCAUUACUUGAACACUUAUCAUUGAUUUUGAUACAAAACAAAGUAUCUUAUAUCUAUCAUUAAUCAUACUCAUGAUAUUGCAGCGCUAUCUUUAAUCUGUGUGCCGAAAGAGGUAGAUGUGACAUGAAACUUGUGACAUAUAAUAUAUAAAUUAAAUCUAUAAAAUGAUAACGCCAUUUUAUCUCUUAAUUUUUUUCUCUUGCAAGAGUACGACUACUACUAUUAUUAUUAUCAUUCGAUACUGCCCUUCUCAAAGGUAGCUAAUUGAAGUUUGCCUCAGAAAGUAUAGAGAAAUCAUAUAAAUUUAAUAUAACAAGUGUAUUCAUCUUGAAAAUGAUAUGUGUAACUCUUCACUCUCUCUCUCUCUUUGAUCAUGCUUCUUGGAACAUUUCGAAUGAUUAUAUUUUUAAAUUAUAUUUCAUGGGUCACAAAAUGCAGAUGUGAUGUUGCUCAUAUUGUAGUUUUACAAGGGCAAUUACAAAAGUGAUUUAUUUGUUUCAAAUUUAGAUGUUAGUGCAACUAUCUUAUUGAAUAAGGUACCAUAUCUUAUAGUGUGGACACUGUCAGAUAAUCAGAAAGUCAAUAAAAAUUAAUAAAAUUUAAUCAUCUAACGAUGCCUAAACUAUGGGAUACGAUAUACUCAUAAGGUAACAUAAUCAUGAUGUAAGAACUAUUUUUAAAAGAAUUUUUAAGCUAAUGUCGAAAAGAAAAAAAAAUUGACUAUAAAAUCAUUUUAUUUUAAAGUGGGAGAAAUUCAAAUAAUGGCUCGAAAAUAAUGUUCAAUGCAACAAAAUUCGUUUGCAAAAUUCUCUCACUCUCAUAUAGUGCAGGUGUAGGCCCACUUUAGAAGGCCCUACUCAUAAUAAGAAAUUUUUGCGAAGAUAUUUAGUUAUAUAGACCAAAUUUCUAAAUGAGGUCCAAUUUAUCUACAAGUGUCCGGUUGUCCCAGAAGCCUUUCGGGCCGAGCUGGACCUCCCAAGCUUCAUAUUUCUCGGCCAUUUUCAUUAAAAUUAAAAAUGAAAAUACAACAAUAUUGUGAUUUUUUUUAAUCUCUACCACUAAAUAUGGGUUAUGUAAUCCUGAUAUUCUCUAAUUAUGUGAUUAUGAGUUUCUUGAUUCUGAAUUCUGUAAUUACUGAGAUUUUAAAAAUUCAGAACUCGUGUAUAUAAAAAAAAAAAUUCAGAACUCAAAUAGUCGAUUAAGCCUUUCUAUAAACAAAGGCCACCGUAUACACGUAAAACAAUUCAUAAUUCAUUUUUCAGCCAAAAUCGAAUGCUUUGAUUAAAAGUUCUGACAAAAUAAUAAGUAUAGCAAUAUUAAACCGAGUGAUUAAUGUUGUUUAGUCUCUAUAUUUUAACUUAAGUGUGCAUUUAAUUUUUAUA
This 9294-nucleotide long non-coding RNA is filed under the name Citrus x clementina. RNAcentral describes it as "Citrus clementina (C. clementina) long non-coding RNA (CCLE_LNC001033)". Lineage: Eukaryota; Viridiplantae; Streptophyta; Magnoliopsida; Sapindales; Rutaceae. The record is from RNAcentral.